Molecule: long non-coding RNA, 1476 nt
Filed under: Rattus norvegicus (Norway rat)
Lineage: Eukaryota; Metazoa; Chordata; Mammalia; Rodentia; Muridae
Description: long non-coding RNA NONRATT008503
Source: RNAcentral
ACCGAGUUCGCGAGGCAAGACGCGGAGACUCGCCUGGCGCGAGCGAGCACGCAACGUCCUCUCGCAGGGGCGGCGCCGCGCACGUAAUAUAGGCGCCCCGCCCCCUGCCGAGGCGAGGCCCGCUAGGGCGACUGCGCGCGCAGGCCCCGCCCCGCCCCCACGGCGCGACCUCCGCGCUGGGCCGGGCCGAGCAAAUGGAGGCUCUGGAAGCGGCCUUUCGGUUUAACGGACCCGCCGCAGUGGCCGCCGGCCUUUCCGGCUCUUGGGUCGCCGCGCUCCAUCGGCGCUCUGUCUUCUGUAUCCUGGAGGACGCUCUCCUCCAUCCGCCUUCAGUCCUCACCUUGCAUUUCCCACUCGAGAACAGCCUCCUUUCUUCCAUCUUCGUUUAGGUUUUGGGGUUUUUUUUUUGUUUUGUUUUGUUUUUUGGGUCUGUCCCUCCGGCUCUAGGUUUAAAACCUUCAAGUUUCCACUGCUUCUCUGUAGAACACAUGUAGGCGAUUGUUAUGCAGAGGUUUUUUGUUGUUUAGUUUUUCCUCCACUUAAUUGCGGUUUAAAUUUUACUAGUCGUGCCUUGCCAGUCGGACUUAUUUUACGUUCCGCAAGGGCGAGGCCAGAGCCUUUCUUUUGUCUCUUCCCCAACCAGCGGUGCAAAGUCUGGGAAAGAGGCUUGUUGUGCUGCUCCGUGCGCCCGCCACAGCGCAUAAAGCCGGCCUUGUGCACUACUGACCCUUAAGAAAGCCUUAGAUUUGCAUGGAAGUUUCCCCUCUAUGUACUUACUGUAAAGACAGGCCUCUUGCAGGACAGUCUGUCCCUGCAGAUCUAGUCCACCAGUUUUGAGAUCCUGUAAUUACAGAUGAGUAGGACAACACCCAGCUAGAUUAUUCACUUUGAUCUUCUCCCUGUUUUUUCAGACACUAUAAACAUGUUUGUAUACCUGCUAAGUUGCCUACAAACUGGUAAUAACAAAAGGCUGGGUUUUAGUUAAAAAAAAAAAAAAAUUACCUGUAGUCCUAUCACUUGGCAGAAUGAGGCAGACAUAUCAAGAGUUAAAAGCCAGGGCUACUUAGUAAAUUCUAGGCUACCUUGGGCUACAUACCAGAUCCUAUCUCAAAAAAUAGGAAUAAAACUAAACUAUCUGUUUUUCUCUUAUUAAAUAUGUUGUGUUCUUGAAGCAUAUAGAAUUUUAUUUCUACACGGGGGCUUCCUGUGCAGACUGAACCCAAGCUAGGUUUGGUGGUACAUGUGUAUAAUUCCAACACUUGAGAGAUACAGGCAAGAUGAUCAAGAAUUCAGUAUCAGACAGGCCACUGGUGGUGGCACACAAGUUUGGCUCCAACACUCAGGAGGCACAGGCAGACCUCUUGAGUCCAAGGCCACUAGUUCCAGGACAGCCAGAGCUACACACACACACACAAAAAAACCCUGUCUUGAAGAAAACAAAACAAAAAACAAAACAAAAUCAAUAAAUCAGUAAAU